Molecule: long non-coding RNA, 203 nt
Filed under: Elaeis guineensis (African oil palm)
Lineage: Eukaryota; Viridiplantae; Streptophyta; Magnoliopsida; Arecales; Arecaceae
Description: long non-coding RNA (EGUI_LNC071092)
Source: RNAcentral
CUCACCUACCUCAGGGUUUUGAAGAACGGGAGGCAUCUUUCAGCCGACCGAGAGAUGAAUCGACUGAGGGUGAUGAUUUUUUCGUUCAGCUGCUGGACCUCCUUCUUGGUGUCUGGGUGCCGCAUGUCGAUGAUUGCCUUUAUUUUCUUAGGGUUGGCCUCGAUUCCACGUUGAGAAACGAGAAACCCGAGGAACUUCCCCAA